UACGGGGGGGGUAAGCGUUGUUCGGAAUUACUGGGCGUAAAGGGCUCGUAGGCGGCCAACUAAGUCAUACGUGAAAUCCCUCAGCUUAACUGGGGAACUGCGUGUGAUACUGGAUGGCUUGAAUCCGGGAGAGGGAUGCAGAAUUCCAGGUGUAGCGGUGAAAUGCGUAGAUAUCUGGAGGAAUACCGGUGGCGAAGGCGGCAUCCUGGACCGGCAUUGACGCUGAGGAGCGAAAGCCAGGGGAGCAAACGGG
Molecule: ribosomal RNA, 253 nt
Filed under: uncultured bacterium
Lineage: Bacteria
Description: partial 16S ribosomal RNA
Rfam family: Bacterial small subunit ribosomal RNA
Source: RNAcentral